AAAAGUGCAAGGGCCUUUUCUACACUAUAUUAAAAAGCUCCACCCUUCUUCCAUUUCAAGUCCGCACAACCCUAGCUUUCAAUUGUCCGCCGCUCCCGUUUGCUAUAUUAUUUGGUAUACUUUCUCACCUUCGUUAAAGUUUUUACUUGUAGAGUUAUUUUAUGGUUUUCAUUAUGCAGGGUUACUAUGUUAAAUGUUUGAUUGUCUGCUAAGGAUGCUAAAAUAUUCUUGUGUUAUCAGAUAUUAAUUUUUCUAUGCAAAUUUAAGUCAAUUCUAUCUGGUUGUGCUAGCCACAAACUUUUUCUUUUUCCUUUUCUUAAGAUUUGUUGAACUCCAAAUUGCAUUAAUAUAUUGAAUAUUCUGAUCCAUUUUGUAAAAGUUGAAGUGCAUGUGUUCAAAUUUAUGUAAUACAUUGUGUGAGUGUGCGUGGACUAAGCUACCUGUAUUAUGUGGAAUACAUGGAACUUGCUUUCUUUAUUUUUCAGCAUUUUACACGGUUGUGGGUAACAGAGAUUUUGUGUGAAACACGGGAGGCGCUUAUACAUGCUCAUUUGAUGGAAGCAAUUAUCAAAUAAGGUCAAUCUAUUUUUAUGCAUUAGAAUUGAUUCAUUUAAUAUUUAUUGAUAUAGUUAAGUAACUUGUGAUUAGAUACGAGCGAAUUGGUGGUGGAAUCAAGAGGUAAAGCCAUAGUUGAGCCGUGAAUUAUGUUUGUGGCAUCGAGAUAAGUGUUCGGUCUAACCUUAACUUGAGGGAUUAGGAGUUGAGUCUAUUUGCUAUUUGCUUCUUGUUGAGUACGACGUAUAGGCAUGGUAACGAGUAUUUAUACGUUGGUGUCGAGCAUGACCGUGAGUCUUAAAUUGGUACUUGUUGUAUUCUUAAUGAUACUAUGGAUGCUUUAGUGGGUAAAUUCUUGGCAUUGAGCAAAGACUUAGUUUAUUUUCGUGGAAUCUACUUAUGAUUGAGUAAUGGUGAUAACUGAGAUGAAUAGGAGUUGAGUUAAGAUUGGUUAUAGCUGAUUCUCCCUUGCCGGAACGUAUAUACUUGUACUGUUAAAUUCCCUUUCCGGAAUGGUGUAGUUUAUUGUUGAUCCCUUGCCGGGAUGUAUAUACUUGUACUGUUGAAUUCCCUUGCCGGGAUGGUGUAGUUUACUGUUGAUCCCUUGCCGGAACGAUUAUUAUGAUUAUUGUUGACUGUAUAUUUGGAACGGGUUGCGCGCCGCAACAUUUUUAUAUAUGGAUCGGGUUGAACGCCGCAACAUUAUUAUAUAUAGAUCGGGUUGCAUGCCGCAACAUUAUAUUAUGUUGGAUCGGGUUGCACGCCGCAACAGUUAUAUAGAUGGAUCGGGUUGCACGCCGCAACAGUGUUAAAUGAUAAGGGGUCGGGUUGCGCGCCGCAAUAGUAGUAUUACUAUAUUGUUGUAGAUAUUGUACUGUCCUUUCAUAUUUCUAGUUAGUUUAUGCUAGAACUGAUAUGUUCCCCCGAAGCAUGUACCCCCUCCCAUUUAAGCUGUUUAUUUUCCGCCGUACAUUAUAUAAUUGCACAGGUUUAUCUAGAGUCUGAUCCUAGCCUCGUCACUUCCUCGCCAGGGUUAGGCCAGACACUUACCAGCACAUGGGGUCGGUUGUGCUGAUGCUAUACUCUGCACUCUGUGCAGAUACCGGAGCAGCAUUGGGAUAGUAGUGUGGGAGACAACCUUCAGUCCACAGGGAUUCCGAGGUAGUCCUACAGGCGUCCGCAGACCCGGCGUCUCUUCUAUCUAUUAUUAUGUUCUGUCAUCACUUGUAUCCAAUACAGACUGUGCUUCUUUCUUUCAGAUAUUUGUAUGUAGUAAUCAUAGACAGUCCGUGAAUGUUGUGACACCAGUUUCUGGGUAGAGACAUAUAUUGGCCUUUUGUAUUUAUUUUGGUAUUAUAUUUGUUUAAGUUUUCCGCUUAAUUUUCA
RNAcentral lists this long non-coding RNA (1941 nucleotides) under Nicotiana tabacum (common tobacco). RNAcentral describes it as "long non-coding RNA (NTAB_LNC005690)". The record is from RNAcentral. Lineage: Eukaryota; Viridiplantae; Streptophyta; Magnoliopsida; Solanales; Solanaceae.